This 497-nucleotide ribosomal RNA is filed under the name uncultured bacterium. RNAcentral describes it as "partial 16S ribosomal RNA". It matches the Rfam family "Bacterial small subunit ribosomal RNA", at positions 28 to 507 of the family's 1533-position model. The record is from RNAcentral.
GAUGAACGCUGGCGGCGUGCCUAAUACAUGCAAGUCGAGCGAACAGACGAGGAGCUUGCUCCUCUGACGUUAGCGGCGGACGGGUGAGUAACACGUGGAUAACCUACCUAUAAGACUGGGAUAACUUCGGGAAACCGGAGCUAAUACCGGAUAAUAUAUUCAACCGCAUGGUUCAAUAGUGAAAGACGGUUUUGCUGUCACUUAUAGAUGGAUCCGCGCCGCAUUAGCUAGUUGGUAAGGUAACGGCUUACCAAGGCAACGAUGCGUAGCCGACCUGAGAGGGUGAUCGGCCACACUGGGACUGAGACACGGUCCAGACUCCUACGGGAGGCAGCAGUAGGGAAUCUUCCGCAAUGGGCGAAAGCCUGACGGAGCAACGCCGCGUGAGUGAUGAAGGUCUUCGGAUCGUAAAACGCUGUUAUUAGGGAAGAACAAAUGUGUAAGUAACUAUGCACGUCUUGACGGUACCUAAUCAGAAAGCCACGGCUAACUACGUG